RNAcentral lists this ribosomal RNA (485 nucleotides) under uncultured bacterium. RNAcentral's name for it is "partial 16S ribosomal RNA". It matches the Rfam family "Bacterial small subunit ribosomal RNA", at positions 28 to 523 of the family's 1533-position model. The record is from RNAcentral.
GACGAACGCUGGCGGCGUGCCUAACACAUGCAAGUCGAGCGAGGUCCAUCCGGUGGCAACACUGGUGAAGACCUAGCGGCGAACGGGUGAGUAACACGUGAGAAACCUGCCCCGAAGACCGGGAUAACCCUCCGAAAGGAGAGCUAAUACCGGAUGCCCUCGCCGCGCCGCAUGACCUGGUGAGGAAAUGGAUUCCGCUUCGGGAGGGUCUCGCGGCCUAUCAGCUUGUUGGUGAGGUAAUGGCUCACCAAGGCUUCGACGGGUAGCUGGUCUGAGAGGAUGAUCAGCCACACUGGGACUGAGACACGGCCCAGACUCCUACGGGAGGCAGCAGUGGGGAAUCUUGCGCAAUGGGCGAAAGCCUGACGCAGCAACGCCGCGUGGGGGAUGAAGGCUCUCGGGUUGUAAACCCCUUUCAGCAGGGAAGAUUAUGACGGUACCUGCAGAAGAAGCCCCGGCCAACUACGUGCCAGCCGCCGCAGUAA